Molecule: ribosomal RNA, 1326 nt
Filed under: metagenome
Description: bacterial LSU rRNA
Rfam family: Bacterial large subunit ribosomal RNA
Source: RNAcentral
AGUGGAUGGGGAGCAACCUAGUUGUGCGUGUGUAAAGGUAGUGCCAAGAAAAGCGAUGAUCAUGUUGAAAAUCAAUUCCCGGUACCCGAAACCGACACAGGUGGGCAAGUAGAGAAUACUAAGGGGGCGCGAGGUAACUCUCUCCAAGGAACUCGGCAAAAUGACCCCGUAACUUAGGGAGAAGGGGUGCCACCGAGAGGUGCUCGCAGUGAAGAGGCCCAGGCGACUGUCUAGCAAAAACAUAGGUCUCUGCAAACUCGAAAGAGGAGGUACAGGGGCUGACGCCUGCCCAGUGCCGGAAGGUUAAAGAAGUUGGUCAGUCUUAGGAUGAAGCUAGCGACUGAAGCCCCGGUGAACGGCGGCCGUAACUAUAACGGUCCUAAGGUAGCGAAAUUCCUUGUCGGGUAAGUUCCGACCCGCACGAAAGGCGUAACGAUCUGGGCGCUGUCUCGGAGAGAGGCUCGGCGAAAUAGGAUUGUCUGUGAAGAUACGGACUACCUGCAUUUGGACAGAAAGACCCUAUGAAGCUUUACUAUAGCUUGGAAUUGUGUUCGGGCUUCCUGUGCGCAGGAUAGGUGGGAGGCGUAGAAGGUAUUCUUGUGGGGAUACUGGAGCCAACGGUGAGAUACCACUCUCAGGAGGCUAGAAUUCUAACUUAAUUAAGGACAGUUUCAGGUGGGUAGUUUGACUGGGGCGGUCGCCUCCAAAAAGGUAACGGAGGCGUACAAAGGUUCCCUCAGACUGGUUGGAAAUCAGUCGAAGAGUGCAAAGGCAGAAGGGAGCUUGACUGCGAGAAGUACAGUUCGAGCAGGGUGGAAACACGGUCUUAGUGAUCCGACGGUGCUGUGUGGAAGGGCCGUCGCUCAACGGAUAAAAGUUACUCUAGGAUAACAGGCUGAUCUCCCCCAAGAGUUCACAUCGACGGGGAGGUUUGGCACCUCGAUGUCGGCUCAUCGCAACCUGGGGCGGAAGUACGUCCCAAGGGUUGGGCUGUUCGCCCAUUAAAGCGGUACGUGAGCUGGGUUCAGAACGUCGUGAGACAGUUCGGCCCAUAUCCGAUGUAGGCGUGAGAAUAUUGAGAGGAGCCUUCCUUAGUACGAGAGGACCGGGAAGGACGCACCGCUGGUGUACCUGUUAUGAUGCCAAUUGUAAACGCAGGGUAGCCAAGUGCGGAGAGGAUAACCGCUGAAAGCAUCUAAGUGGGAAGCCCACCUCAAGAUGAGUAUUCUGGUGUAAGGUCACGGGAAGACGACCCGUAAAUAGGCACGAGGUGGAAGUGCAGAGAUGUAUGAAGCCGAAGUGUACUAAUAGACCGUCGGCUUGACC